Long non-coding RNA from Archocentrus centrarchus (flier cichlid), 1788 nucleotides. RefSeq lists it as uncharacterized. The record is from RefSeq and is a predicted model, not a curated record. Lineage: Eukaryota; Metazoa; Chordata; Actinopteri; Cichliformes; Cichlidae. The transcript has 3 exons.
UCAGAGAGGCAGGCUCCCAGUCAGUGCGUGGAGUUGGUCUCGGAUAGAGGUUUUGGGAGUAAAAAUACUCCCCGAUGCAGACUAGAAGAAACUGCAAUCAGCCCACCUCGACAGGAGAAUGAAUCCUGCAGCAGGGUGAAGGAAAAUCUUGUUUUCACGUGUGGCUCCAAGAAGAUAAUUUCAGUCAGAUGCUGUUACGAGCAAUUUUUAUCCGAAGAUGAAAGACUUCAUGUUCCUCUGAUUAAUGAGGUGGUAGUAAAGCUCUAAAGCAGAGCCUCUCAGCUCAUGCUUGAGCUUAAGUGUGCUUCGUGAUGUGGUGUUUUUGUUUUGUUUUUUUUGUUUUGUGUGUGUGUGUGUAGAACAUAACCAGAACUGUCAUUGCCCUGCGGACAGCGGACUCAUUCUGCCACUGUCUUGUGUCAUUAUGUCCUCUUGUUAUGCAACCUGACCUCUGCGGUUCUGAGCAACGUCCCCGGCUCAGUCCCUGUCCCAUGCCUGUCUGACUGUCUCUCCUCCCUCCUCCACACCGUGCCUCCUCUGUCAGCUCGGCUCACGGUCACAGCUGCUGUCCUGCCUGCCUGCCUCGGUGAACAUUCAACGCUGUCGGUGAGUUUGGUAUGGAUCUCAUAAAAACCAUCGACCGUUGACUGUGCCCCGUGGUUCGCUCCGACGACGUCAGGAAUGAGCGAAAAAUGAACAAAGGGGCAAAGUGGCUACAUGCAAAUCCAGUGACGUAAACAGACGCAUACGCGCGCACAAAAGUGACACUCUGUUUCCACUGUACCCAAAGACCUAAGGUCACAAUCAACAUUCAUUGCUGUCGCUGGGUUGGACUGUGUAGAAAAGCUCACUGAACAAUGAGUGCAACUGUGGCCCAGAUCUGCCUGACUCGCGUCUCAGCCAAUCAGCCGACCGGAUGUGAGGCACUCUGAUUAUUUUAUUUAUAUACUUCUUGUUUUUCACUUCUAUUUUCUCCCUCCUUCCUCCCUCCCCGGUGCUGGGAGUCUUAAGGGGAAGAGAGAAUGAGAGAGAGACAGAGACACAAAUAGACUUCUGGCUGCUUGCUUGUCCUCAUCCUCCUCUCCUCUCCUCUAAUUGAUGGUUAUGUGUGCAGCAAGGGGGAAGGAAGCAGAGUGAAUGUGUAAUCAUUUGGAGUCUCUUCUCCUUUAGAUGUUUCAUCCCUCUCUUUUUUGUUCGUCUAAUUAUAUACUGAGCUGAGUUAACUCUGUGUUAACUGUGCGCCUGUGCUGGCAAGAAAGACGGACUGAUAGAAAGGGAGGACAGGGAGAACAAAAACGGCAGAAAGCUUACAGCAGCAGCUAAAUGAUUAUCUCGUUUUUAGUAGAUUUUGCCUAAUACUCUUCCUCAAGCAAUGUGCUGGGAGAAGGAAGGAAAUUUCAACUGCAUAAAGUCAAUUGUUUUCACCUUUCACACCGAGGACAUCUCAUUAUCUGUGUUUGAGUUUCAUGAGAGCCUGCUCAGUUUCCUUUCUGCCCCUGUUUGUGUGUGUGUGCGCUAAGAUAGAGGACCUGUCGGGUGAUCUCAGAGUGCAAUAUGUUAUUUUCCUUCUAUACUAAAGCGUGUUCCUCUCAUGGGGGGAAAAAAAACAGCCUAUAACCUUGUCUUCCUUCACAGUCUGGGACCGGCCACACCACUGCCAUUUCUCAUCGCACCCUCCUGUAACAACUUCUGUAAUUCAAGUAAGGUGAACACAAAGCUCACACGUAUGAUUUAUGGGUAUAGGAAUGUUUGUAUCACUGAUUAACCUAAUAAAGCUAAAUCAACUUA